RNAcentral lists this ribosomal RNA (253 nucleotides) under uncultured bacterium. Its description in RNAcentral is "partial 16S ribosomal RNA". It matches the Rfam family "Bacterial small subunit ribosomal RNA", at positions 524 to 776 of the family's 1533-position model. The record is from RNAcentral.
UACGAAGGGGGCUAGCGUUGCUCGGAAUUACUGGGCGUAAAGGGAGCGUAGGCGGGUUAUCAAGUUGGAGGUGAAAGCCCAGGGCUCAACCUUGGAAUUGCCUUCAAAACUGAUAGCCUAGAGUAUGAUAGAGGUAAGUGGAACUCCGAGUGUAGAGGUGAAAUUCGUAGAUAUUCGGAAGAACACCAGUGGCGAAGGCGACUUACUGGAUCAUGACUGACGCUGAGGCUCGAAAGCGUGGGGUGCAAACAGG